RNAcentral lists this long non-coding RNA (2149 nucleotides) under Homo sapiens (human). RNAcentral's name for it is "HSALNT0338896". Lineage: Eukaryota; Metazoa; Chordata; Mammalia; Primates; Hominidae. The record is from RNAcentral.
CUCUCCCUCCCCCUCCCUCUCCCUCUCCCUCUCCCUCUCCCUCCACGGUCUCCCUCUGAUGCCGAGCCAAGGCUGGACGGUACUGCUGCCAUCUCGGCUCACUGCAACCUCCCUGCCUGAUUCUCCUGCCUCAGCCUGCCGAGUGCCUGCGAUUGCAGGCGCGCACCGCCACGCCUGACUGGUUUUCGUUUUUUUUUGGUGGAGACGGGGUUUCGCUGUGUUGGCCGGGCUGGUCUCCAGCUCCUAGCCGCGAGUGAUCCGCCAGCCUCGGCCUCCCGAGGUGCCGGGAUUGCAGAUGGAGUCUCGUUCACUCAGUGCUCAAUGGUGCCCAGGCUGGAGUGCAGUGGCGUGAUCUCGGCUCGCUGCAACCACCUCCCAGCCGCCUGCCUUGGCCUCCCGGAGAGCCGAGAUUGCAGCCUCUGCCCGGCCGCCACCCCGUCUGGGAAGUGAGGAGCGUCUCUGCUUGGCCACCCAUCGUCUGGGAUGUGAGGAGCCCCUCUGCCUGGCUGCCCAGUCUGGAAAGUGAGGAGCGUCUCUGCCUGGCCGCCAUCCCAUCUGGGAAGCGAGGAGCGCCUCUUCCCCGCCGCCAUCCCAUCUAGGAAGUGAGGAGCGUCUCUGCCCGGCCGCCCAUCGUCUGAGAUGUGGGGAGCACCUCUGCCCCGCCGCCCUGUCUGGGAUGUGAGGAGCGCCUCUGCUGGGCCGCAGCCCUGUCUGGGAGGUGGGGAGCGUCUCUGCCCGGCCGCUCCGUCUGAGAAGUGAGGAAACCCUCUGCCUGGCAACCGCCCCGUCUGAGAAGUGAGGAGCCCCUCCGUCCGGCAACCACCCCGUCUGGGAAGUGAGGAGCGUCUCCGCCCAGCAGCCACCCCGUCCGGGAGGGAGGUGGGGGGGGUCAGCCCCCCGCCCGGCCAGCCGCCCCGUCCGGGAGGUGAGGGGCUCCUCUGCCCGGCCGCCCCUACUGGGAAGUGAGGAGCCCCUCUGCCUGGCCAGCCGCCCCAUCCGGGAGGGAGGCGGGGGGGGGGGUCGGCCAGCCGCCCCGUCCGGGAGGGAGGUGGGGGGGUCAGCCCCCCGCCCGGCCAGCCGCCCCGUCCGGGAGGUGAGGGGCUCCUCUGCCCGGCCGCCCCUACUGGGAAGUGAGGAGCCCCUCUGCCCGGCCAGACGCCCCGUCCAGGAGGGAGGUGGGGGGGGUCAGCCCCCCGCCUGGCCAGCCGCCCCGUCCGGGAGGGAGGUGGGGGGAUCAGCCCCCCGCCUGGCCAGUCGCCCCGUCCGGGAGGUGAGGGGCGCCUCUGCCCGGCCGCCCCUACUGGGAAGUGAGGACCCCUCUGCCCGGCCAGCCGCCCCGUCCGGGAGGGAGGUGGGGGGGACAGCCCCCCCGCCCAGCCAGCCGCCCUAUCCAGGAGGUGAGGGGCGCCUCUGCCCGGCCGUCCCUACUGGGAAGUGAGGAGCCCCUCUGCCUGGCCAGCCGCCCCGUCCGGGAGGGUGGUGGGGGGGUCAGCCCCCCGCCCGGCCAGCCGCCCCAUCCGGGAGGUGAGGGGCGCUUCUGCCCGGCCGCCCCUACUGGGAAGUGAGGAGCCCCUCUGCCCGGCCACGACCCCGUCUGGGAGGUGUGCCCAGCGGCUCAUUGGGGAUGGGCCAUGAUGACAAUGGCGGUUUUGUGGAAUAGAAAGGCGGGAAGGGUGGGGAAAAAAUUGAGAAAUCGGAUGGUUGCCGGGUCUCUGUGGAUAGAAGUAGACAUGGGAGACUUUUCAUUUUGUUCUGUACUAAGAAAAAUUCUUCUGCCUUGGGAUCCUGUUGAUCUGUGACCUUAUCCCCAACCCUGUGCUCUCUGAAACAUGUGCUGUGUCCACUCAGGGUUAAAUGGAUUAAGGGCGGUGCAAGAUGUGCUUUGUUAAACAGAUGCUUGAAGGCAGCAUGCUCGUUAAGAGUCAUCACCACUCCCUAAUCUUAAGUACCCAGGGACACAAACACUGCGGAAGGCCAAGGCCGCAGGGUCCUCUGCCUAGGAAAACCAGAGACCUUUGUUCACUUGUUUAUCUGCUGACCUUCCCUCCACUAUUGUCCUAUGACCCUGCCAAAUCCCCCUCUGCGAGAAACACCCAAGAAUGAUCAAUAAAAAAAAAAUAAAUUAAUUAAAAAAAAAAAAAAAAAAAAA